RNAcentral lists this ribosomal RNA (253 nucleotides) under uncultured bacterium. RNAcentral's name for it is "partial 16S ribosomal RNA". It matches the Rfam family "Bacterial small subunit ribosomal RNA", at positions 524 to 776 of the family's 1533-position model. The record is from RNAcentral.
UACGGAGGGGGCUAGCGUUGUUCGGAAUUACUGGGCGUAAAGCGCACGUAGGCGGUUUUCCAAGUCAGAGGUGAAAGCCCAGGGCUCAACCCUGGAAUUGCCUUUGAGACUGGGAGACUUGAACACGGGAGAGGUGAGUGGAAUUCCGAGUGUAGAGGUGAAAUUCGUAGAUAUUCGGAAGAACACCAGUGGCGAAGGCGUCUCACUGGACCGUUGUUGACGCUGAGGUGCGAAAGCGUGGGGAGCAAACAGG